RNAcentral lists this ribosomal RNA (245 nucleotides) under Clostridioides difficile. Its description in RNAcentral is "partial 23S ribosomal RNA". It matches the Rfam family "Bacterial large subunit ribosomal RNA", at positions 1465 to 1708 of the family's 2925-position model. Lineage: Bacteria; Bacillati; Bacillota; Clostridia; Peptostreptococcales; Peptostreptococcaceae. The record is from RNAcentral.
AGGGAUGACACAGUAGGAUAAGCUAAGCACACUGUUGGUUAUGUGUGCCCAAGCAUUGAGGCAGUCAAAGUAGGCAAAUCCGCUUUGAUAAUGCUGGGAUGUGAUGGGGAGCGAAAUGUAGUAGCGACGUAGCUGAUUUCACACUGUCAAGAAAAGUCUCUAUCGAGGUUAAAGGUACCCGUACCGCAAACCGACACAGGUGGGUGAGGAGAGUAUCCUAAGGCCAGCGAGAGAACUGUUGUUAA